Molecule: ribosomal RNA, 497 nt
Filed under: uncultured bacterium
Lineage: Bacteria
Description: bacterial SSU rRNA
Rfam family: Bacterial small subunit ribosomal RNA
Source: RNAcentral
AGGGUUCGAUUCUGGCUCAGGAUGAACGCUGGCGGCGUGCUUAACACAUGCAAGUCGAACGAUUAACCCGCCUUCGGGCGGUCAUAGAGUGGCGAACGGGUGAGUAACACGUGACCAACCUGCCCCAUGCCCCGGGACAACCGCUGGAAACGGCGGCUAAUACCGGAUACUCCGGCGAGGCCCCAUGGCCCCGCCGGGAAAGCCCAGGCGGCAUGGGAUGGGGUCGCGGCCCAUCAGGUAGUAGGCGGGGCGACGGCCCACCUAGCCGACGACGGGUAGCCGGGUUGAGAGACUGACCGGCCACAUUGGGACUGAGAUACGGCCCAGACUCCUACGGGAGGCAGCAGUGGGGAAUUUUGCGCAAUGGGGGGAAAAACCCCUGACGCAGCAACGCCGCGUGCGGGACGAAGGCCUUCGGGUUGUAAACCGCUUUCAGCAGGGAAGACAUCGACGGUACCUGCAGAAGAAGCCCCGGCUAAAUACGUGCCAGCCGCUGC